GGAAAGGUGAAAAGAACCCCGAACAGGGGAGUGAAAUAGAACCUGAAACCAUACGCUUACAACCGGUCGGAGCAGCUUCGUGCUGUGACGGCGUGCCUAUUGAAUAAUGAGCCUACGAGUUACUAAUCACUAGCGAGGUUAAGUGCAAGGAUGCACGGAGCCGAAGCGAAAGCGAGUCUGAACAGGGCGUUUAGUUAGUGGUUGUAGACGCGAAACCUUGCGAUCUACCCUUGAGCAGGUUGAAGGUUGGGUAAAACCAACUGGAGGACCGAACGAAUAAGCGUUGAAAAGCUUCUCGAUGACUUGAGGGUAGGGGUGAAAGGCUAAUCAAGCUGGGAAAUAGCUCGUACUCCCCGAAAUGCCUUUUGGGGCAGCGUUGUAAUAAAGAGUCUACUGGAGGUAGAGCUACUGAUUGGAUGCGGGGGCUUCACCGCCUACCAAAUCCUGACAAACUCCGAAUGCCAGUAGUAUGAUUUACAGCAGUGAGUGACUGGGUGCUAAUGUCCAGUCGCAAAAGAGGAACAACUCAGACCAGCAACUAAGGUCCCGAAGAAUAUGCUAAGUUGAUCUAACGAUGUUUUGUUGCAGAGACAGCUAGGAUGUUAGCUUGGAAGCAGCUAUUCAUUCAAAGAGUGCGUAACAGCUCACUAGUCGAGCGACAGAGCGUGGAUAAUAAACGGGCAUCAAGCAUAUCACCGAAGUUCUGGGCGCGAGAGCGCGGUAGGGGAGCAUUCCAUUCAGCGUCGAAGCAGUUUCGUGAGGAAUUGUGGAGCGUAUGGAAAAGCAAAUGUAGGCAUGAGUAACGAUAAUGCGGGAGAGUAACCCGCACACCGCAAGACCAAGGUUUCCUGAUCAACGCUAAUCGGAUCAGGGUUAGUCGGGUCCUAAGGGUAAGCCGAACGGCGAUCUCGAUGGAUAAUCGGUUAAUAUUCCGAUACUAACAUAUACCUCGAUGGAGAGACGAAGGAACGUAAGUGCCGCCACCUGACGGAAUAGGUGGUUAAAGGGCGUAGGUAUAGGGGCAGAUUAAGAGUUAGUCCUUGCUGAAACCUGACAGUACAGAGAGCCUACGGGCAAUUUGAUAGAGCACCCAAGUCGACUUCCGAGAAAAUCUUCUAAGUUAUAGUAUAUGUUACCCGUACCGUAAACCGACACAGGUGGUCGAGGAGAGUAUCCUAAGGUGCUCGAGUGAAUCACGGUUAAGGAACUAGGCAAAUUAACCCCGUAACUUCGGGAAAAGGGGUCCCUAUGAAAGUAGGGCGCAGCGAAGAGGUCCAGGCGACUGUUUAUCAAAAACACAGGGCUCUGCAAAUUCGAAAGAAGACGUAUAGGGCCUGACACCUGCCCGGUGCUGGAAGGUUAAGAGGGGAUGUCAUCGCAAGAGAAGCAUUGAAUCGAAGCCCCAGUAAACGGCGGCCGUAACUAUAACGGUCCUAAGGUAGCGAAAUUCCUUGUCGGGUAAGUUCCGACCUGCACGAAUGGUGUAACGAUCUGGACACUGUCUCAACCGUGAGCUCGGUGAAAUUGUAGUCCCGGUGAUGAUGCCGGGUACCCGCAACGGGACGAAAAGACCCCGUGAACCUUUACUAUAGCUUAACGCUGAAUUUGGGUACACAAUGUGUAGGAUAGGCCGGAGGCUUUGAAGCGGGCACGCCAGUGUUCGUGGAGCCGACGUUGAAAUACGGCCCUUUGUGUAUUUGAGUUCUAACCCUGCGAAGGGGACACCGUUUGGUGGGUAGUUUGACUGGGGUGGUCGCCUCCAAAAGCGUAACGGAGGCUUCCCAAGGUACCCUCAGCACGAAUGGUAACCGUGCGCAGAGUGCAAUAGCAUAAGGGUGCUUGACUGUGAGACAUACAAGUCGACCAGGUACGAAAGUAGGGUAUAGUGAUCCGGUGGUUCUGCGUGGACUGGCCAUCGCUCAAAGGAUAAAAGGUACUCCGGGGAUAACAGGCUGAUCGCCGCCAAGAGCUCAUAUCGACGCGGCGGUUUGGCACCUCGAUGUCGGCUCGUCACAUCCUGGGGCUGGAGAAGGUCCCAAGGGUUCGGCUGUUCGCCGAUUAAAGUGGCACGCGAGCUGGGUUCAGAACGUCGUGAGACAGUUCGGUCUCUAUCUAUCGUGGGCG
RNAcentral lists this ribosomal RNA (2124 nucleotides) under human metagenome. RNAcentral's name for it is "bacterial LSU rRNA". It matches the Rfam family "Bacterial large subunit ribosomal RNA", at positions 508 to 2653 of the family's 2925-position model. The record is from RNAcentral.